RNAcentral lists this unclassified non-coding RNA (292 nucleotides) under plant metagenome. Its description in RNAcentral is "partial contains small subunit ribosomal RNA, internal transcribed spacer 1, and 5.8S ribosomal RNA". The record is from RNAcentral.
UUUCCGUAGGUGAACCUGCGGAAGGGUCAUUAUUGAAUAAACCUGAUGUGGUUGUAGCUGGCCCUUUCGGGAGCAUGUGCACACCCGUCGUCUUUAUCUUUCCACCUGUGCACCUUUUGUAGACCUGGAUGUAACACUUUCCGAGGCAACUCGGUCGGGAGGAAUGCUGUCAGCUUUCCUUGAAUGUCCAGGCCUAUGUUUUCAUAUACCCCAAAGAAUGUAACAGAAUGUAUUAUUGGGCCUUGUGCCUAUAAACUAGAUACAACUUUCAGCAACGGAUCUCUUGGCUCUC